Molecule: ribosomal RNA, 406 nt
Filed under: uncultured bacterium
Lineage: Bacteria
Description: partial 16S ribosomal RNA
Rfam family: Bacterial small subunit ribosomal RNA
Source: RNAcentral
AUUGAACGCUGGCGGCAGGCCUAACACAUGCAAGUCGAACGAGUGGCGGACGGGUGAGUAAUGUCUGGGAAACUGCCCGAUGGAGGGGGAUAACUACUGGAAACGGUAGCUAAUACCGCAUACCAUCGGAUGUGCCCAGAUGGGAUUAGCUAGUAGGUGGGGUAAUGGUUCACCUAGGCGACGAUCCCUAGCUGGUCGGAGAGGAUGACCAGCCACACGUGGACGUGGACACGGUCCAGACGCCUACGGUAGGCAGCAGUGGGGAAUAUUGCACAAUGGGCGCAAGCAUGGUGCAGCCAUGCCGCGGGUAUGAAGAAGGCCUUCGGGUUGUAAAGUACUUUCAGCGAGGAGGCGUUACUCGCAGAAGAAGCACCGGCUAACUCCGUGCCAGCAGCCGCGGUAAUAC